UAUUUCAGCAAACAGAGACAACUCUGAUGGCUGCCUAUGUGCCUAUAUAUACCCAUACCUAGUGUUUGGUGAUGUUUAAGCCGAGCGGAGCAAAUUUCCGUUUGCUGUUUUCAUGGACUUUUCCGAGUCUCUCGAUAAUCUCCAACAAACAGAAUGGUUUCCUGAUACCUGGCCGUUAGGUCACCUAGCAGUCAGUUAAACUUAAGCCAAGCGAAGGAAAUCUCUAUGGUUAUUUUCAUGAUUCCUGUUUCUCCAUGUCUUACCACAAUUUUCAAUGUUCCGGAGAACUGACAGUGCCCCGCAGAGUCAUUACGUCUAGCCUCAAAAUACACACUAUGGAAUGCUUCUAUUUCUGAAAGAUUACGAAGGACCACACCACUCCAGACUCCUGUUCAAUAAUUUUAUUUCACAACUUUUGCUGUAACAAUGGCUGCUGUCUACUGCCACUUCAAGGUUCCUGUUCCACGGCUGUAUUUCUAGAAACCUGCACCUACAUCAGCAGUGGUCUACAUUGAAUACUACUUAUAGGGAAAAUGACACUCGAGAUCUUCUUUUAUGUUAGGUAUCAAGGCGCAAGAAGAUGAAAUUAUAAUUGAUUAUUUUGUGAUGACACGUCUUAAAUAUGAAAUGAAUCCCCUAACAACGGCGAUAAGAAAACGAGUAAAGAAGACUGAUAUACUUAUUAUGUAGAAAAUAACUAUAAGGAUUUAUUUAUUAAGUUUUUGUACAUAA
Long non-coding RNA from Cydia pomonella (codling moth), 732 nucleotides. RefSeq lists it as uncharacterized. The transcript has 5 exons. NCBI's taxonomy places the organism in Eukaryota, Metazoa, Arthropoda, Insecta, Lepidoptera, Tortricidae. The record is from RefSeq and is a predicted model, not a curated record.